UAAUGGAUUGGAUGUGGGGGUCUAUUUUGCCGGCUUCUUUACGAGGUCAGCUCCCCUGAAAUGCAUUAGCAGAACAACCCUGUUCAUUGGUGUGAUAACUAUCUACGCUAUUGUGAAGGGAAGUUCAGCUUUCUAACUGUCUUUGGACAAUUCAUCAUUAAUGUGACCUCAAAUCAGGUAGGACUACCCGCUGAACUUAA
RNAcentral lists this unclassified non-coding RNA (200 nucleotides) under soil metagenome. RNAcentral describes it as "partial contains internal transcribed spacer 2 and large subunit ribosomal RNA". The record is from RNAcentral.